Molecule: ribosomal RNA, 446 nt
Filed under: uncultured bacterium
Lineage: Bacteria
Description: SSU rRNA
Rfam family: Bacterial small subunit ribosomal RNA
Source: RNAcentral
AGAGCGAACGCUGGCGGCAGGCUUAACACAUGCAAGUCGAACGGACUCUUCGGAGUUAGUGGCGGACGGGUGAGUAACACGUGGGAACGUGCCUUUAGGUUCGGAACAACACAGGGAAACUUGUGCUAAUACCGGAUAAGCCUUUCGAGGGAAAGAUUUAUCGCCUUUAGAGCGGCCCGCGUCUGAUUAGCUAGUUGGUGAGGUAAAGGCUCACCAAGGCUACGAUCAGUAGCUGGUCUGAGAGGAUGGCCAGCCACAUUGGGACUGAGACACGGCCCAAACUCCUACGGGAGGCAGCAGUGGGGAAUCUUGCGCAAUGGGCGAAAGCCUGACGCAGCCAUGCCGCGUGGAUGAUGAAGGUCUUAGGAUUGUAAAAUCCUUUCAGCGGGGACGAUAAUGACGGUACCCGCAGAAGAAGCCCCGGCUAACUUCGUGCCAGCAGCCGC